AAAUUCCAUGUGCCUUCAAAUACUUCUAAAAGACUACAUUCAUAUAUUCUGUACCAUUAUCAAUUCUCAAUAUUUUAACAUGAGCAUGAAACUGAAUGCUAAUCAUUUUGUGAAACUGUUGAAAACAUGAAAAUACUUUAUUUUUCCCUUUCAUUAGAUAUACCCAAGUUAACCUACUGUAACAAUCAAUAAAGGUCACAAAC
This 203-nucleotide unclassified non-coding RNA is filed under the name Hevea brasiliensis (rubber tree). Lineage: Eukaryota; Viridiplantae; Streptophyta; Magnoliopsida; Malpighiales; Euphorbiaceae. The record is from RNAcentral.